Molecule: long non-coding RNA, 2643 nt
Organism: Sapajus apella (tufted capuchin)
Lineage: Eukaryota; Metazoa; Chordata; Mammalia; Primates; Cebidae
Exons: 2
Source: RefSeq, a predicted model, not a curated record
UCGGAUUUCUCCGUUUCUGGCUCAGCUUUCUUAUCCCAGUCACCCCCAUCACCUGUCCAGCUCCCCAAGGUCUGCUGAUCCCAAACACUCUACCUCUGCCCCCUCUCAUCUAAGGCCCUGCCCCAAAGUAGGUGCCCUGUUGAGCUCACCGCUUUCUUCUGGGUAACUCCGAUCUCAGCCUUAUUCCAAGUCUUAACUGUGUCUUCUCGUCUUAGCCUCCUAGCCCACUGUAUACUUCCUUUCCGACUCCUGCCGUACUGAGGACACCCAUCCCUAAGUCUUUGCUAAACUGUCCUGAACUCUUGCUGCCUCCUUUCCUACCACCCUCACCCAAUCUUGUUAAAAAUGACAUCUCCAUGUCCUUUCACCCUCCCUGACGCCACCGCAGCUCUUCACCCCAACUCUGCGUCCAUUCCUUUCCUCGACCCAACUCCCAUUCAAUCUGAGAACUUGGUGCAGAGUCUCCUGCCAACUCCACCAACUGCCCCUCAACAGCCAAAUGUAGGUGCUCACUCAGACUAGCAGUUAGAGACUGAGCAGCGUGACUGGUGGGCCUAGGGCCUCAGGUGGUAAAUGAGGUUGGAGGAGCAGUGGGCUGUCCCCAAAUUGUGGAUUGGGCCGGAGGGUUUUCCUGGCGUCUGGUCUCCUGUACCUGUCCACAGCGACUGUGUUUCUGGCAUUCAUAUUAAAUGACUUGUGCUGGCUGCUGGAAUGGAAGGUAUCAUUCAAAUACCUGGAAGGUGAGAGAUGGCCACUCACUCAGCUCACUUAGCAUAGGAUGAUGGAAGCUAUCACUUCCUUCUGGCUGCUGUUCUGGCCCUGGAGAGCCUCCAGGAGGUUUCUAAAGGGUCCUAAAGAACAUUGUCUCUGCUGUGGUCGCAGAACAUUGUCCAUGUUCCUUUUUCUGGCACUUGUAAGGGCCGCUCCCUGCCAGAGCUGAUGGCAGAUCACUCCUGAUGCUGAAUUCGGAGGACACGAUGGGUGCCAGAGGCAGUGUUACCUGUUGUGAAGAGUAUAGAUGAAUAGGUCCUGGGGAGGCUGAGGCCUGGGUAGGUACAGAGGCUCUUGAAUCGCUUUCUUUUCUUGCAAGCACUGGCUCAUUGACUUUCGGCCAUUUGGAUUCCCUGAACACAGGGAACCACAUUAUCUCAGAGUAGCUGAGGCAGAAGGACAUUCCAGAGGCACCCAAGUCCCAUGCUCAGCAUUUAUAGUUUCCUGAGGGCUUUUGGGGACACAUUUUCUCUGAAUCCUAAGGACCCAGCAUCAGAUGGGUGGGCCAUUUGACCACAGUAUUAAAGGGUCCUAAAGAACAUUGUCUCUGCUUGCCGUUUAUAGUCUUACUCCUCUGAAAACUAAAUGCUGUUUACCUUCAAUGUCCUUCCAUUCAUAUGCAGGAUAUUUAAGUUGUUUUCAGCCUUAUUGGCAGCUUGGCUUAGUGGAAGGAGGUCCACAGUGGCCCCAGCACUUAAGAGCUACAUACCCCAACUUCCCAGUGUGUGAAAUGGAGAUACUUGCCCUGUGCCUUGUUUUCAUUUUAUUAAUCGGUUCAUUCAACAGCUUAUUUUUUGAGCACCAGUGUGUGCCAAGCACUGUUCUAGGUACAAUGGUGACUGGGUCAGGCAACUUUCCUGUUUUCAUUCAUUCAGAGUUUGGUCCUUGUUAGAAUCCUCUGGGACAUGGGACAAGAAUAUAGGGAAGGUAGGUGUUAUUGGAUGGAAGGAAGGAGGGAGGAAAGAAAGAUUCCCAGUGUUCACUGACUCCAGCUCUGCCCUCAUCCACUAGCCCUGAGUCUGGGAAUCACAAGCUACAAGUUUCUCACCCUUCAUCUGGUAUUUAAUUGCUUCAAAGCUCCAAUCCCCCACCACCCCACCUGUCACAGAAAUCCAGCUUUCCUCAGGUGGACAGAGAUGCUGUUUCCUCAGUCAGCACUCACAUGUCUGAAGGAUCAGCUGCCUUUCUGAAUCAGAAGAUAACUGUGUCAUUCUUUUCCAAUUGAAAAAACAUGACCCAUCAAUUGGUACGGCAGCUGGAUGGCUUAAAGCCAGGCUGUGGCUCUGAAGAGCCAGGUACACAAUUCAGGCGGUGGUGAGAAGGCCGUGGGGAGUGGCUGAGAAGUCCCUCAAGAGAAGAGGCCGCUGUUCACUGAUAGUGGGGUGUUUUGAGAGUGGUGAAGCCAGGUUAUCUUUCUUCUUUUAAUGUAAGUCUCAUCUAAGUAAUUCUCUUUUUUUCUUCCUUGAUAGCUGUAGGAAGUGAAAUUGGACAUAUAGAGAAGGCCAGGCAGUGUAAUGAAGGAAACCAACUGGAACUGUUCCUUCCUGUGUUGGAACAUUUAAGAAAGUAUAGCUCUGAGACUUUGGGAGCAUUGGGGGAUGCCGGCAGCCCUGAGGGAUUGAACCACUCACUGACUUCAACUCUUCCUGCAUACUCAUUUGGACAUGGCAUUCUUGGUCUGUAGAUUUAGGUGGUCACAUCCACUGGGAUGACAGACACCAGGUACGUAUCAGGCCCUGUGACAGGUGUUUUACACAUUCUCCAUCUAAGAGGUCUGCGCAUGCCUACCUGGUUAGUGGCAGAUUGAAACGAGACCUCGUGGUUGUCGCGAUUAGACGUGCCCCUGUAUGCCACUCAAGCCAGACCCUUGAA